ACGACUGCUAAUACCGCAUAAGCCCACGGCUCGGCAUCGAGCAGAGGGAAAAGGAGCAAUCCGCUUUGAGAUGGCCUCGCGUCCGAUUAGCUAGUUGGUGAGGUAACGGCCCACCAAGGCGACGAUCGGUAGCCGGACUGAGAGGUUGAACGGCCACAUUGGGACUGAGACACGGCCCAGACUCCUACGGGAGGCAGCAGUGGGGAAUAUUGCACAAUGGGGGAAACCCUGAUGCAGCGACGCCGCGUGGAGGAAGAAGGUCUUCGGAUUGUAAACUCCUGUUGUUGAGGAAGAUAAAGACGGUACUCAACAAGGAAGUGACGGCUAACUACGUGCCAGCAGCCGCGGUAAAACGUAGGUCACAAGCGUUGUCCGGAAAUACUGGGUGUAAAGGGAGCGCAGGCGGGAGAACAAGUUGGAAGUGAAAUCCAUGGGCUCAACCCAUGAACUGCUUUCAAAACUGUUUUUCUUGAGUAGUGCAGAGGUAGGCGGAAUUCCCGGUGUAGCGGUGGAAUGCGUAGAUAUCGGGAGGAGCACCAGUGGCGAAGGCGGCCUACUGGGCACCAACUGACGCUGAGGCUCGAAAGUGUGGGUAGCAAACAGGAUUAGAUACCCUGGUAGUCCACACCGUAAACGAUGAUUACUAGGUGUUGGAGGAUUGACCCCUUCAGUGCCGCAG
Molecule: ribosomal RNA, 679 nt
Filed under: uncultured bacterium
Lineage: Bacteria
Description: bacterial SSU rRNA
Rfam family: Bacterial small subunit ribosomal RNA
Source: RNAcentral